This 459-nucleotide ribosomal RNA is filed under the name uncultured bacterium. RNAcentral's name for it is "partial 16S ribosomal RNA". It matches the Rfam family "Bacterial small subunit ribosomal RNA", at positions 338 to 795 of the family's 1533-position model. The record is from RNAcentral.
CCUACGGGAGACAGCAGUGAGGAAUAUUGGUCAAUGGCCGCAGGGCUGAACCAGCCAAGUCGCGUGAGGGAUGACGGUCCUAUGGAUUGUAAACCUCUUUUGUCAGGGAGCAAAGGGCGCCACGUGUGGCGCUUUGCGAGUACCUGAAGAAAAAGCAUCGGCUAACUCCGUGCCAGCAGCCGCGGUAAUACGGAGGAUGCGAGCGUUAUCCGGAUUUAUUGGGUUUAAAGGGUGCGCAGGCGGAAUGUCAAGUCAGCGGUAAAAUUUCGGGGCUCAACCCCGUCGUGCCGUUGAAACUGGCAGUCGUGAGUACAGUAGAGGUGGGCGGAAUUCGUGGUGUAGCGGUGAAAUGCUUAGAUAUCACGAAGAACUCCGAUUGCGAAGGCAGCUCACUGGACUGCAACUGACACUGAGGCUCGAAAGUGUGGGUAUCAAACAGGAUUAGAUACCCCUGUAGUC